RNAcentral lists this ribosomal RNA (653 nucleotides) under Halobacillus sp. SP42. RNAcentral's name for it is "bacterial SSU rRNA". It matches the Rfam family "Bacterial small subunit ribosomal RNA", at positions 44 to 662 of the family's 1533-position model. Lineage: Bacteria; Bacillati; Bacillota; Bacilli; Caryophanales; Bacillaceae. The record is from RNAcentral.
GUGCCUAAUACAUGCAAGUCGAGCGCAGGAAGCGAGCUGAUCCCCUUCGGGGGUGACGCUCGUGGAAUGAGCGGCGGACGGGUGACUAACACGUGGGCAACCUGCCUGUAAGAUCGGAAUAACUCCGGGAAACCGGAGCUAAUGCCGGGUAACACUUUCCUCCGCAUGGAGGAGARUUAAAARAUGGCUUCUUGCUAUCACUUACAGAUGGGCCCGCGGCGCAUUAGCUAGUUGGUGAGGUAACGGCUCACCAAGGCGACGAUGCGUAGCCGACCUGAGAGGGUGAUCGGCCACACUGGGACUGAGACACGGCCCAGACUCCUACGGGAGGCAGCAGUAGGGAAUCUUCCGCAAUGGACGAAAGUCUGACGGAGCAACGCCGCGUGAACGAUGAAGGUUUUCGGAUCGUAAAGUUCUGUUCUUAGGGAAGAACAAGUACCGUUCAAACAGGGCGGUACCUUGACGGUACCUAACGAGGAAGCCCCGGCUAACUACGUGCCAGCAGCCGCGGUAAUACGUAGGGGGCAAGCGUUGUCCGGAAUUAUUGGGCGUAAAGCGCUCGCAGGCGGUUCCUUAAGUCUGAUGUGAAAGCCCACGGCUCAACCGUGGAGGGUCAUUGGAAACUGGGGAACUUGAGGACAGAAGAGGAGAGU